RNAcentral lists this ribosomal RNA (467 nucleotides) under uncultured bacterium. Its description in RNAcentral is "partial 16S ribosomal RNA". It matches the Rfam family "Bacterial small subunit ribosomal RNA", at positions 28 to 507 of the family's 1533-position model. The record is from RNAcentral.
GAUGAACGCUGGCGGCGCGCCUAACACAUGCAAGUCGAACGAUUAAAGCACCUUCGGGUGUGUAUAAAGUGGCGAACGGCUGAGUAACACGUGGGCAACCUGCCCCUCUCAUUGGGAUAGCCACGGGAAACCGUGGAUAAUACCGAAUACUUCGGGACUUCCUCCUGGAAGACUCGAGAAAGCUCCGGCGGGGAGGGAUGGGCCCGCGGCCUGUUAGCUUGUUGGUGGGGUAAUGGCCUACCAAGGCAAUGAUGGGUAGCUGGGUUGAGAGACCGACCAGCCAGAUUGGGACUGAGACACGGCCCAGACUCCUACGGGAGGCAGCAGUGGGGAAUCUUGCACAAUGGGCGAAAGCCUGAUGCAGCGACGCCGCGUGCGGGAUGAAGGCCUUCGGGUUGUAAACCGCUUUCAGCAGGGACGAGGCGAAAGUGACGGUACCUGCAGAAGAAGCCCCGGCUAACUACGUG